RNAcentral lists this ribosomal RNA (417 nucleotides) under Ammonia aomoriensis. RNAcentral's name for it is "partial large subunit ribosomal RNA". The record is from RNAcentral. Lineage: Eukaryota; Foraminifera; Rotaliida; Rotaliidae.
CGUAAUAACAGAAACUAACCAGGAUUCCCUUAGUAACGGCGAGUGAACUGGGAUACCAAUAUAUUUAUGCGUCUCUGGCGCAUAUUUUUAGCCCGUCGAUACUAUCCUAGCGUAUUACCGGUUUCGGCCGGUAGCCCAAUACGCGGGAAUUGUAGCAUCGUAAUAAAAUAUACACCAUGCCUGCGUCGCAAACGUAUAUACACGUAUACUCACACACACACACAUACUCUCGUACGCGUACACACCCCUUGCAAACACACAGCGCUCCCGCGUUGGAAAGCAAGUCUAUAUCCUCUUUGGAUAUGCCAUAGAGUGUGACAGCCACGUGUGACACACCCUACGUAGCGUACACACACAUACGUAAAAAUACGCGCUGCUUCGCAUACGCAUACGUAUAUAACCUGAGUCGAGUUAUUU